GACGAACGCUGGCGGCGUGCCUAAUACAUGCAAGUCGAGCGGACUUUCAAGAAGCUUGCUUUUUGAAAGUUAGCGGCGGACGGGUGAGUAACACGUGGGCAACCUGCCUGCAAGACGGGGAUAACUCCGGGAAACCGGGGCUAAUACCGGAUAAUAUCUUCCUUCGCAUGAAGGAAGGUUGAAAGGCGGCGCAAGCUGCCGCUUGCAGAUGGGCCCGCGGCGCAUUAGCUAGUUGGUGAGGUAACGGCUCACCAAGGCGACGAUGCGUAGCCGACCUGAGAGGGUGAUCGGCCACACUGGGACUGAGACACGGCCCAGACUCCUACGGGAGGCAGCAGUAGGGAAUCUUCCGCAAUGGGCGAAAGUCUGACGGAGCAACGCCGCGUGAGCGAAGAAGGUCGUCGGAUCGUAAAGCUCUGUUGUCAGGGAAGAACAAGUACCGUUCGAACAGGGCGGUACCUUGACGGUACCUGACCAGAAAGCCACGGCUAACUACGUG
This 499-nucleotide ribosomal RNA is filed under the name uncultured bacterium. RNAcentral describes it as "partial 16S ribosomal RNA". It matches the Rfam family "Bacterial small subunit ribosomal RNA", at positions 28 to 507 of the family's 1533-position model. The record is from RNAcentral.